UACACAUGCAGUCGAACGGUAACAUUGUACGUGCUUGCUCUUCGAUGACGAGUGGCGGACGGGUGAGUAAUGCUUGGGAACUUGCCUUUGCGAGGGGGAUAACAGUUGGAAACGACUGCUAAUACCGCAUAAUGUCUACGGACCAAACGGGGCUUAGGCUCCGGCGCAAAGAGAGGCCCAAGUGAGAUUAGCUAGUUGGUAAGGUAACGGCUUACCAAGGCGACGAUCUCUAGCUGUUCUGAGAGGAAGAUCAGCCACACUGGGACUGAAACACGGCCCAGACUCCUACGGGAGGCAGCAGUGGGGAAUAUUGCACAAUGGGGGAAACCCUGAUGCAGCCAUGCCGCGUGUGUGAAGAAGGCCUUCGGGUUGUAAAGCACUUUCAGUUGUGAGGAAAAGUUAGUAGUUAAUACCUGCUAGCCGUGACGUUAACAACAGAAGAAGCACCGGCUAACUCCGUGCCAGCAGCCGCGGUAAUACGGAGGGUGCGAGCGUUAAUCGGAAUUACUGGGCGUAAAGCGCACGCAGGCGGUUUGUUAAGCUAGAUGUGAAAGCCCCGGGCUCAACCUGGGAUGGUCAUUUAGAACUGGCAGACUAGAGUCUUGGAGAGGGGAGUGGAAUUCCAGGUGUAGCGGUGAAAUGCGUAGAUAUCUGGAGGAACAUCAGUGGCGAAGGCGACUCCCUGGCCAAAGACUGACGCUCAUGUGCGAAAGUGUGGGUAGCGAACAGGAUUAGAUACCCUGGUAGUCCACACCGUAAACGCUGUCUACUAGCUGUGUGUGUCUUUAAGACGUGCGUAGCGAAGCUAACGCGCUAAGUAGACCGCCUGGGGAGUACGGCGCAAGGUUAAAACUCAAAUGAAUUGACGGGGGCCCGCACAAGCGGUGGAGCAUGUGGUUUAAUUCGAUGCAACGCGAAGAACCUUACCUACACUUGACAUGCUGAGAAGUUACUAGAGAUAGUUUCGUGCUUUCGGGAACUCAGACACAGUGCUGCAUGCUGUCGUCAGCUC
RNAcentral lists this ribosomal RNA (1012 nucleotides) under Alteromonas sp. PM-RT07. RNAcentral describes it as "bacterial SSU rRNA". It matches the Rfam family "Bacterial small subunit ribosomal RNA", at positions 50 to 1061 of the family's 1533-position model. The record is from RNAcentral. Lineage: Bacteria; Pseudomonadati; Pseudomonadota; Gammaproteobacteria; Alteromonadales; Alteromonadaceae.